This 446-nucleotide ribosomal RNA is filed under the name uncultured bacterium. Its description in RNAcentral is "partial 16S ribosomal RNA". It matches the Rfam family "Bacterial small subunit ribosomal RNA", at positions 338 to 795 of the family's 1533-position model. The record is from RNAcentral.
CCUACGGGUGGCAGCAGUCGAGAAUCAUUCACAAUGGGGGAAACCCUGAUGGUGCGACGCCGCGUGGGGGAAUGAAGGUCUUCGGAUUGUAAACCCCUGUCAUGUGGGAGCAAAUUAAAAAGAUAGUACCACAAGAGGAAGAGACGGCUAACUCUGUGCCAGCAGCCGCGGUAAUACAGAGGUCUCAAGCGUUGUUCGGAAUCACUGGGCGUAAGGCGUGCGUAGGCUGUUUCGUAAGUCGUGUGUGAAAGGCGCGGGCUCAACCCGCGGACGGCACAUGAUACUGCGAGACUAGAGUAAUGGAGGGGGAACCGGAAUUCUCGGUGUAGCAGUGAAAUGCGUAGAUAUCGAGAGGAACACUCGUGGCGAAGGCGGGUUCCUGGACAUUAACUGACGCUGAGGCACGGAGGCCAGGGGAGCGAAAGGGAUUAGAUACCCCGGUAGUC